CUUAUCUCUAAUCUGAACAACCUUAAAACAAUAAGAAAAACACGUAUUAUUGAUAUUCGCUCAGUAACCAUUAUAAUAUACAAUUACAGCUUUGUUUCAAUGUUUAAACUGUGAGUACUCUUUUGUUUGGCACACAAAUCAAAUUUACGCGUGUAAAGAGUAAUACUGAGAUAAAACAAGAAUCUGGCUUACACUUCUGAAAGAAAAGAUCAUGGAAGAACUAAAUUUUUUUGACAAGCUCUACAGCCACACAGAAUGUGAAUGAUGAUGAAAAGAUAUGAACAACUCAUGACAGGAACUUGAAAAAUGAGAAGUCAAAAGGAAGACUGUGCUCCCACCUCUUUAGGAAGACUUUGUGCUCAAAGUUUAUUUUACCCACUCACAAAUCCUGAAAUAAAUCACUUUACACAAGCUCAAAGUGAUAGUCCAAAAAAAUAAAGCUAAUAUGGUGUAUUCUUUGCUGAUUCAAAUAGCACCAAGGAAAAUAAUGAGUUAAAAAAACAACAUAACUGAUGUUAUAAGAUGUUGAAUUUCAUCAUUACCUGAAGAUAUUUUCUUAAUAUUGUUGUUUACCAUCAUUAUUAUUAUUAUUAUUACAUAAAUUAGAAUACAUUUUUA
Molecule: long non-coding RNA, 618 nt
Organism: Limulus polyphemus (Atlantic horseshoe crab)
Lineage: Eukaryota; Metazoa; Arthropoda; Merostomata; Xiphosura; Limulidae
Exons: 4
Source: RefSeq, a predicted model, not a curated record